UGGGUUGUUGCAAACCAAUGCAGACAACUGGGAUAAUUGAACUUGGUGGAGCUUCUGCUCAGGUGACAUUUGUUUCAAGUGAGCCGGUGCCUCCCGAGUUCUCUCGUGCUGUUAAAUUUGGAAAUGUCACUUACAAUCUCUACAGUCACAGCUUUCUUCAUUUCAGCCAGAAUGUUGCGUAUGAUUCAUUGAAAGAGGGUAUUGUUCAGGAGACUUCGACUCAGGUAAAGAUACA
Malus domestica (apple) is the source of this 235-nucleotide non-coding RNA. The record is from RefSeq and is a predicted model, not a curated record. NCBI's taxonomy places the organism in Eukaryota, Viridiplantae, Streptophyta, Magnoliopsida, Rosales, Rosaceae.